UAUCUCUGGAAAAUGCGUCGAGUAUUUUCCUUAAUCGAAAAGUGUUUCCCGCGCGAACGAAAAUCUUCCGCGGUGGCUAACAAUCGCGAAUUUAACCGCUGCCAUUGCGAAACGAAGAGUUGUCGCGUCUCUGAUAAGACGACAAUUUCGUGGAAGUUCAGGUUCCACCGGUGCGAACGUGCGAACGGAUGCAUUCUACGCGCGUAACUUAGAUCCCUGUAGGAUAGCGUGUGUGCAGCCACAGUGUUGUCUGUAUUAGAACGGGGCGGUUAGGGAGAGAGGGUCGAUGGGGGGUGGUUACUGGGAUUUUCAGUACGCGCGCGAUCGCCGUGCCGAAAACACGGCUCCAACCUACCCGCUUUCGCACGCUCGGGGGUUGUCUGGUUCCUAGCGACGAUUAAACGUGACGAUCUCUCUGCGUUCCAAACGCGAACCGGGAAAAAGAUGCUCUCCGAAAUGCGCUGAACAAAUUUCGUACAGUGUUCGUGUCAUGGAAUGAAAAAAAAAAAAGAAUGAAAAAGUGAAUCGCCGGUAUAGUGGCGAACGAACUAUCAACUCAACACCGGGAUGUACCCCGUGAGACGUUGAAGUACAAUGUAUUAAAAUUGAAUUCAGUAGCAGAUAGUCACGUAACAUUCGUGUAAGUUUAAAAAAGGACGAUGUUUAUAAUAAAAUAAACGCAAACUUAAAGUUUCAGGAUAAAUCAAACGACGGAUGACUUGUAUGAAAAUUUAUAUUAAUAUAUUAAAAUUAAUAUAUUAAAAUCGAAUUCAGUAGCGGAUAGUUGCGUAAAAUUCGCGAAAGUUUAAAAGAAAGACGACGUUUAAAAUAAAAUAAACGCGAACUUAAAGCUUGGGAAUAAAUCGAGAGACGGAUGUCUUGUAUGAAAAUUUACUUUUCUAGCGAUUGUAGAGUCAAGAGAGAUAUCGUUGAAUCGAAUGAAAUUAAACAUACCUAUAGAUCCAUCGAUUCGUAUUAACAGCGAAUGUAAGUUUGGUAGUCGCGAAUGUUGAUCGGUGUCGAAUGUUGAGCAUUGAAAUAAACGAAAUGAACAGUAUCUACGCUGGAUAGUUGAGUGUGUGCAUGAAGAAUUACGAGACCGAUGAGAACUGCAAACGAGCCGGUGCAGAGGAACACGAAUUAGGUGCAUCAUGCUGAAAAGAUGCAUACAAGCCGUGGUUCACUUUUUUCUUCGGAUUCGGGGUAAUGGUCGCAAAACAGAAGCCACUUUACGACAGACGGGCGAUAACCGGGAAUGGAAUCUCUAUGAUGCUCGGAAAUGCGCAAAUUGAUGGGCAGAGAUCAUCGUCGAUGGACCGGGGGUAAACGUCAUGGCGAACCAGACGGUCAAUUACUAUGGGAACGUUUAUCAAUGGAAUCGGACGGUGGCGACGGACGACCAAGACGCGUCGAUGGAAUAUUACCUACCCGACUGGACUGAUCUCGUUUUAGCUGGGUUGUUCACCACGUUGAUCAUCGUCACUAUAGUAGGCAACACUUUAGUAAUUGCCGCUGUGGUAACAACGAGGCGCCUAAGGUCCGUUACUAAUUGUUUCGUAUCCAGCUUGGCCGCUGCGGAUUUAUUGGUUGGCUUGGCUGUAAUGCCGCCGGCAGUAUUAUUACAGGUAUAUAAACGACGUAUAUCAGUGUAGCUGAAAUUUUGAAAGGUAUUCGUACAAAAAAGGGUGCCAAUAAAUUCGUACACCCUAAUUAUCUGCGUUAUUUUUCGAGACGUGAAAGCUUAUAUGUGAAACUUCGUGUAAAUUUGAAUACUCUAAUUAUUUACGUUAUUUUGAGGAACAUGAAACUUCAUUCAUAAAAAAAAUCAUCCGAACGGAAUCGAAUGUUUUAGUGAAAAACCAUCGUGUGAGAUUAUUUAUACAAUCAAUGAAUAUUGAAUUCUUUGUAAAAAUUACGUUCUG
Molecule: RNA transcript, 1922 nt
Organism: Hylaeus volcanicus
Lineage: Eukaryota; Metazoa; Arthropoda; Insecta; Hymenoptera; Colletidae
Gene name: beta-3 adrenergic receptor-like
Exons: 4
Source: RefSeq, a predicted model, not a curated record